Molecule: unclassified non-coding RNA, 257 nt
Filed under: Rhizosphaera sp. (in: ascomycete fungi)
Lineage: Eukaryota; Fungi; Ascomycota; Dothideomycetes; Dothideales; Dothideaceae
Also listed under: 1 other name
Description: partial contains 5.8S ribosomal RNA, internal transcribed spacer 2, and large subunit ribosomal RNA
Rfam family: 5.8S ribosomal RNA (bases 1-52)
Source: RNAcentral
AACGCACAUUGCGCCCCUUGGUAUUCCGAGGGGCAUGCCUGUUCGAGCGUCAUUACACCACUCAAGCACUGCUUGGUAUUGGGCACCCGUCCGCCGAAAGGCGGGCGUGCCUCGAAGACCUCGGCGGGGUCUAAUCGGCUUCGGGCGUAGUAGAGUUAAAUCAAAACGUCUUAUAAGUCUGGUUAGAACCCAUUGCCGUAAAACCUUUUAUUUUCUAGGUUGACCUCGGAUCAGGUAGGGAUACCCGCUGAACUUAA